Molecule: ribosomal RNA, 374 nt
Filed under: uncultured organism
Description: partial 16S ribosomal RNA
Rfam family: Bacterial small subunit ribosomal RNA
Source: RNAcentral
GUAGGUGGCAAGCGUUGUCCGGGAAUUAUUGGGGCGUAAAGCGCGCGCAGGCGGAUCUUUAAGUCUGAUGUGAAAGCCCACGGGCUCAACCGUGGAGGGUCAUUGGAAACUGGAGAACUUGAGUACAGAAGAGGAAAGCGGAAUUCCACGUGUAGCGGUGAAAUGCGUAGAGAUGUGGAGGAACACCAGUGGCGAAGGCGGCUUUCUGGUCUAUAACUGACGCUGAGGCGCGAAAGCGUGGGGAGCAAACAGGAUUAGAUACCCUGGUAGUCCACGCCGUAAACGAUGAGUGCUAAGUGCUAGGGGGUUUCCGCCCCUUAGUGCUGCAGCUAACGCAUUAAGCACUCCGCCUGGGGAGUACGACCGCAAGGUUG